GACGAACGCUGGCGGCGUGCCUAAUACAUGCAAGUAGAACGCUGAAGGAAGGAGCUUGCUCUUUCUGGAUGAGUUGCGAACGGGUGAGUAACGCGUAGGUAACCUGCCUGGUAGCGGGGGAUAACUAUUGGAAACGAUAGCUAAUACCGCAUAAAAUUGAUUAUUGCAUGAUAGUCAAUUAAAAGGUGCAACUGCACCACUACCAGAUGGACCUGCGUUGUAUUAGCUAGUUGGUGGGGUAACGGCUCACCAAGGCGACGAUACAUAGCCGACCUGAGAGGGGGAUCGGCCACACUGGGACUGAGACACGGCCCAGACUCCUACGGGAGGCAGCAGUAGGGAAUCUUCGGCAAUGGACGGAAGGCUGACCGAGCAACGCCGCGUGAGUGAAGAAGGUUUUCGGAUCGUAAAGCUCUGUUGUAAGAGAAGAACGAGUGUGAGAGUGGAAAGUUCACACUGUGACGGUAUCUGACCAGAAAGGGACGGCUAACUACGUG
This 497-nucleotide ribosomal RNA is filed under the name uncultured bacterium. RNAcentral describes it as "partial 16S ribosomal RNA". It matches the Rfam family "Bacterial small subunit ribosomal RNA", at positions 28 to 507 of the family's 1533-position model. The record is from RNAcentral.